Long non-coding RNA from Lethenteron reissneri (Far Eastern brook lamprey), 214 nucleotides. RefSeq lists it as uncharacterized. Lineage: Eukaryota; Metazoa; Chordata; Hyperoartia; Petromyzontiformes; Petromyzontidae. The record is from RefSeq and is a predicted model, not a curated record.
AAGGAGACGGCUGCUUCUGAAUCUUCAGCUGCUUCAUCUUCAUCAUCUUCAUCAUCAACUUUCGAACGGCUUCUGCCGAAGCCAUCCAAUCGAAAAUCUUUACGAGAGACGCUGAGAGAUUUACGGAGCACAACAACGCUACUCUCAGAAUUAGCGCCAUGACGAGUCGAGCUGGAGCGAGUGGGAGGCAGCCUCCGUCUAUCACCACGUGGAG